CAGUCGCCACGGUAAUACGUAGGGUGCGAGCGUUAAUCGGAAUUACUGGGCGUAAAGCGUGCGCAGGCGGUUGUGUAAGACAGGUGUGAAAUCCCCGGGCUUAACCUGGGAACUGCGCUUGUGACUGCACAGCUAGAGUAUGGCAGAGGGGGGUGGAAUUCCACGUGUAGCAGUGAAAUGCGUAGAGAUGUGGAGGAACACCGAUGGCGAAGGCAGCCCCCUGGGCCAAUACUGACGCUCAUGCACGAAAGCGUGGGGAGCAAACAGGAUUAGAUACCCCUGUAGUCCCUGUCUCUUAUAC
This 301-nucleotide ribosomal RNA is filed under the name uncultured bacterium. Its description in RNAcentral is "partial 16S ribosomal RNA". It matches the Rfam family "Bacterial small subunit ribosomal RNA", at positions 509 to 807 of the family's 1533-position model. The record is from RNAcentral.